This 425-nucleotide ribosomal RNA is filed under the name uncultured bacterium. RNAcentral describes it as "bacterial SSU rRNA". It matches the Rfam family "Bacterial small subunit ribosomal RNA", at positions 356 to 773 of the family's 1533-position model. The record is from RNAcentral.
GGGGAAUAUUGGACAAUGGGCGAAAGCCUGAUCCAGCCAUGCCGCGUGAGUGAAGAAGGCCUUCGGGUUGUAAAGCUCUUUUGUUGGGAAAGAAAAGCAGCCGGUUAAUACCCGGUUGUUCUGACGGUACCCAAAGAAUAAGCACCGGCUAACUUCGUGCCAGCAGCCGCGGUAAUACGAAGGGUGCAAGCGUUACUCGGAAUUACUGGGCGUAAAGCGUGCGUAGGUGGUUCGUUAAGUCUGAUGUGAAAGCCCUGGGCUCAACCUGGGAAUUGCAUUGGAUACUGGCGGGCUAGAGUACGGUAGAGGGUGGCGGAAUUCCUGGUGUAGCAGUGAAAUGCGUAGAUAUCAGGAGGAACAUCCGUGGCGAAGGCGGCCACCUGGACCAGUACUGACACUGAGGCACGAAAGCGUGGGGAGCAAAC